AUGGAACAGAGACCAACAUGUGACUUACAUAUGUUUAAUGUGUUUGAUACGUUCCGUUUUUUCUCCAUUGCAGCCAUUUCAAUGAGCCGUCCUCGUGUAGCUCCUCCCUCCAGGCUCCUCUGCAACGUACUGUCUGAAUCAAGGACAAGUGCUCAUAAUUCCCACCCUGCGAAGGCUCUGCAGAAGAUCAGGACCUCCUUUCUCGCUGUUCUCCCCUACGGAAAGCCUGGGGGACAUACUGUACAGGAAAACCAAGCAUGUGUUUGACUACACAGUCACGAACAUGAAAGACAAAAAGCCCGGUGAGUCAGCCUGAUAGUGGGAUUUGGAAAUAAAAUGUAUUGAACGCUACAACAAAGAGACAGAUAGGAUAGCAUCUAUUGGAAAGGCCUGGGGCCCUAUUCAGUCAUAAUCGGUCACAGGCGUUCAGGAUUAAUACCAGAAAAUAUAUUUGUAUAUAAGUAUAGCAGUAUGAUCUUUUUUUUUAUUUCACAUGCUUUGUACUAGAGAUUAAAUUAAUCAAAUGAUGCCACAUUUCAGAUGUUUCAAGGUGUGGUUCCAAUCUAAACCAAUGUGUUAAACCAGCCCUUCCAGUACGGAAGGGAUUCAAUGUAUCCACAUCUAGGUACAGCCAGGUGAGGAAUAUACUGUAACUGAGAUGAUGUUCACACACACACACACACAAUGGUACAGUGGUAACCAGUAUUUACCUUAUUUUUCAGAGAAGGGAACAAUCAAUUGAUCAGAUGACGGUGAUCAGAAAAGAUCAUGGUAAGAUCCUAUACUAAUUCCCUCCGUUUUAAUGUACAAAGAAACACACUGGACAUACCCAAUUGUAAACUGUAACUUUUGUGUUCUUGUUCCCACUUUAGUCGGUAGGCCUUUACUAAUGCUGAAAGGCAAUGCAAGUCUAACCAACAGUGAUGGAAGCAACAACACGGAUUCAUUUGCUUAUUCACCCAGACUCACAAAGGUAUCAGAACCCUUUAUUCAUAUUAUGUUGGUAUUGAUAUAGUAAGAAUGUCAUUAACGUUUUAUAGUCCUGAAUAAACUAAGCGACAUUUAUAUAGCCGUUGCCUUUUUUUUAACUGACAUCGUUAAUAAUGAGCCAGUAGUGGUACAUGUACUAGCUUCAAUUAAACACAGGAGGACAGUGUUGCUCUACAUUUGACAUUCAUCCAACAUGCUCAGCUUAUUCAUAUGUCGAGCACAUAGGAUAGGCUCUGCCAUAACAAAAUAUAUUGACAUCUUUAAUCUAGGGUAAACCAUCAACCUCCUCUCAGCCAGGACCUGACACCAGGAUCCCACCAGUAGUAACCAGGAACCAUUCUGACAUCAUCAGAGAGGCAAUCACUUUAUAAACUGUUGUGCCCCCCAAAAUAGGCUUUUGUCCGUAUUAAAAGAGCAGAUCAUGCUAAUUUUGCAGUUUAAAAAACAUGUUGAACCAUACUCCAUGACCAAUAUGCUGUAACUUAUAGGAAAGAAAGAGGCACUACUACAAAGACCUGUGUCAGCAGGUGGAGGAGAAGAGACAACAAAAAGCGAGGGAGAGGAGAAGGAUUACCACCGCCGAACAAACUGUGAGUCAUCGCAAGCAUAAUUAUUCUAUGUUACCCAUACCUUCUAUAUAGAGAUCGGACAGGAACGUGUCACCUUUUUC
Long non-coding RNA from Oncorhynchus kisutch (coho salmon), 1660 nucleotides. The record is from Ensembl. Lineage: Eukaryota; Metazoa; Chordata; Actinopteri; Salmoniformes; Salmonidae.